AAAACUCACCAGGUCAGGACACGGUAAGGAUUGACGGACUGAAGGCUCUUUCUCGAUUCCGUGGAAAGUGGUGCAUGGCCGUUUUUGGUUGGUGGAUCGAUCCGUCUGGUUAAUUCCGUUAACGAACGAGACCUCGGCACUCCGAAUAGCGCGGCGGACGUCGCGGCCUCCGGGCCGUCUUCCGCGCGAGCUUCUUAGAGGGACCGUCCCCCGCCGGGGAAGGAGGUGCGAGGCAACGACAGGUCUGUGAUGCCCUUAGAUGUUCUGGGCCGCACGCGCAUUACACUGACGCGUCCAACGGGUGACUCCCGACCCGAAGGGGCCGGGGAAUCCGCAAGGCGCGUCGUGAUGGGGAUUGAACGUUGCAAUUGUUGUUCACGAACGAGGAAUUCCUAGUAGGCGCGGGUCAUCAACCCGCGCCGAUUACGUCCCUGCCC
This 437-nucleotide ribosomal RNA is filed under the name uncultured eukaryote. RNAcentral's name for it is "bacterial SSU rRNA". It matches the Rfam family "Eukaryotic small subunit ribosomal RNA", at positions 1210 to 1658 of the family's 1831-position model. The record is from RNAcentral.